GACAUCCGGAGUGACAUACAAAAGGCAGUGGAGCCCCUCCCUGCCUCUCUCCCCUCCUCCCCUCAACAGUCGGGUGCCCAUCAGCAGAGCGAGCCGGAGGACAGCCAGGCAGAGCGGAGCGCCAGGCCCACCACUGACAACCACAGCAAGGACACCCAGCCAGCCGCCGGCCACCGAGACGACAAAAAAGAUAUGCCAAAUAGAGCUACAGACCCAGCCUGACAUUGGAAAUGAGCUAAUUGCAUCUUCUCCAGUACUUCAGUGUGGAGUCCAUUGAUGGGACUAUGUUUCAUGAAGCCGUUAGAAGACUGUUGCUGACUGAGAGGAGUCUGGCACUAACCCAGAACUAUCAGAAGCAUCUUUCUUUCGGCUGCUUAGYACAACUGCAUUCAGGCAACAACCCAUACUGUGCUGGCGGUAGAUAGCCCAGCGGCUAAAGAGGUGGACCUGUGGCAGGAGUUGGACCUGUGGCCAGUUCGAAUCCUGGGCCAGGUGCUGGAAAAAACGAACGGAAUUGAUCUGCCAACUGGAGGGCAGCAGGGUUCAUAUCCUCAAAACAUUCACCUACCGUUGGGCUGUUGAGCAAGGUCUUUAACCCCACAACAUCUUCAUCCAGGGGCUGCUGCACUGCAGCUUCAAUCUGUGCUCAUCUCAACUGUAUGUGUCAGGUCUGCUGUUUGGGGGUUUAGAAACAGAGCAGAAGGCAAUUUUUGGGGGGUUCGCUGUAACUAAUGGACAAAGUUGUAUUGUAUUUUAUUGUAAAGAAGUCAGACAGAGUUGACAUGAGCCUUCAUUCAAACAAAGAGAUGUCAGCUACAGUUGACAGCCAGAGUUGACGUUGGCAC
This is a long non-coding RNA of Salvelinus sp. IW2-2015, 845 nucleotides long. RefSeq lists it as uncharacterized. Lineage: Eukaryota; Metazoa; Chordata; Actinopteri; Salmoniformes; Salmonidae. The record is from RefSeq and is a predicted model, not a curated record.